GGCCACCCCAAGACGCAUCGUUGGGCACGGCGUGAUCCUCUCUUCCUUCUCCUUCUAGCUAUCUUGUCUUGAGCUGUGGAGGAAGAAUUCAAGGUGAUUGGGGACGUGAACAGUAGCGUGAACAGUUCCAUCCGAGUUCUUGAGUUUGGCUUGUGUUGGCCGGUGGAGGAAGAUUUGAGGGUAUUUGGAGACGUGAACAGUAUUAUGAACAGUGCUGCGAGUUCUUGAUAUUUUUUUUGGGUAUAAAUUCGGCUAUUUCUGCUUGCUUUUGGUGGCUGCUGCAGAGAUGGAAUUGACGUACUGAGCCCUCGAGCGAGGAGGACACAGACAGGCAGCAGGGUUA
Molecule: long non-coding RNA, 343 nt
Filed under: Rosa chinensis
Lineage: Eukaryota; Viridiplantae; Streptophyta; Magnoliopsida; Rosales; Rosaceae
Description: sRNA RchiOBHm_Chr7g0194251
Source: RNAcentral